GUGAAAUAAGACUUUCAACACACAUUUCUUAGUAAUAGCUUUGUAUUAUGCUAUCAACACUUAAAACAACUGUAAGUGUUCAUAAACAAUGUUUAACUUUGCAACAAAAUACUGCAAUUAAAGCUCAGUGUUUAUUCUCACAGCAGGUCAAAACUUGAAGUGAAAAUAUUGGAAUGUCUUAGUACAUAAUAGUAUCUCAGGGCUCUGACAGCUGUGUGGAUAUGAAUGAAACCUGUGUGACUAGACCUGGUUUUGCUUCCAAUUGGCUGCCUCGCCCUCUUGAGAGGGGUGCUGCUUUCACCAGUUAUUUCUGGACAUAUGAAUGCUGAAAAAUUGCUUCUGCAAGACCAGAAUUGCUUUUCACCUAUUAAGAAGCAAGAAUUGGUCUCACGAACUAUAAAGACAAUAUUAAAUUGGACUUUUCUUUGCUAUGCAGCAAAGGAGAAUUUUCCAUUCAAAAAAAGUGUGGAGGAUAGGCCAAUGUUUCUAAAUCACACAUAAUUAAGUAAAAUGGCCUGCAAAAUUGUGA
Long non-coding RNA from Cyanistes caeruleus (blue tit), 529 nucleotides. RefSeq lists it as uncharacterized. The record is from RefSeq and is a predicted model, not a curated record. NCBI's taxonomy places the organism in Eukaryota, Metazoa, Chordata, Aves, Passeriformes, Paridae.